This 258-nucleotide long non-coding RNA is filed under the name Mytilus galloprovincialis (Mediterranean mussel). Lineage: Eukaryota; Metazoa; Mollusca; Bivalvia; Mytilida; Mytilidae. The record is from RNAcentral.
UUUUUUCUUAAACUAUAAGUAAUAGGUCAACUAUAUAUAUUGUAUAGAAGCAUUGUUAACUGAACAUGUCUGCCUGGCAUGGUUCAUCUGACCUUGACCUCAUUUUCAAGGUUCAUUGGUCUUUGUUUAGUUAUCUUGGUUAAUGUUAUGUUUAUGUGACAGUUGUAAAAAAGCUUAGCUUUAUACUAAGGACUAUCAACAUAAAAUCAAUGAUUAGUAUAGAAGGCGAGACAUUUCAGUGUGUGCACUCUUGUUUAC